Molecule: ribosomal RNA, 320 nt
Filed under: uncultured eukaryote
Lineage: Eukaryota
Description: partial 18S ribosomal RNA
Rfam family: Eukaryotic small subunit ribosomal RNA
Source: RNAcentral
CCCUUAGAUGUUCUGGGCUGCACGCGCGCUACAAUGGCGUUUUCAAAAAGAUUGCUAAUCCGAAAGGACCAGCGGAUCUUCGAAGUGGCGUCGUGAUCGGGACAGUUGAUUGCAAUUAUUCGACUCGAACGAGGAAUUCCUUGUAAUCGUGCGUCAUCAGCGCACGCUGAAUACGUCCCUGUUCUUUGUACACACCGCCCGUCGCUCCUACCGAUCGAGCGAUCCAAUGAAUGUUUCGGAGCGGAACUGAGAUGCUAAUGCGUCUCUUUUACGCGAAUUUGUGUGAAGUUGAUCGCUUAGAGGAAGGAGAAGUCGUAACA